UACGUAGGCAGCGAGCGUUGUUCGGAGUUACUGGGCGUAAAGGGUGUGUAGGCGGUUGUUUAAGUUUGGGGUGAAAUCUCCCGGCUCAACUGGGAGGGUGCGCCGAAUACUGAAUGACUAGAGUGCGGGAGAGGAAAGUGGAAUUCCUGGUGUAGCGGUGAAAUGCGCAGAUAUCAGGAGGAACACCGAUGGCGAAGGCGGCAUCCUGGACCGGCAUUGACGCUGAGGAGCGAAAGCCAGGGGAGCAAACGGG
RNAcentral lists this ribosomal RNA (253 nucleotides) under uncultured bacterium. RNAcentral's name for it is "partial 16S ribosomal RNA". It matches the Rfam family "Bacterial small subunit ribosomal RNA", at positions 524 to 776 of the family's 1533-position model. The record is from RNAcentral.